This 224-nucleotide ribosomal RNA is filed under the name uncultured bacterium. RNAcentral's name for it is "partial 16S ribosomal RNA". It matches the Rfam family "Bacterial small subunit ribosomal RNA", at positions 524 to 748 of the family's 1533-position model. The record is from RNAcentral.
UACAGAGGGGGCAAGCGUUAUUCGGAAUUAUUGGGCGUAAAGGGCGCGUAGGCGGCUUGGCAAGUGGAAGGUGAAAUCCCUCGGCUUAACCGAGGAACUGCCUUCCAGACUGUUAGGCUUGAGACCGGGAGAGGUGAGUGGAAUUCCAGUGUAGCGGUGAAAUGCGUAGAUAUUGGGAGGAACACCAGUGGCGAAGGCGGCUCACUGGACCGGUACUGACGCUG